UACGUAGGGGGCUAGCGUUGUCCGGAAUCAUUGGGCGUAAAGAGCGCGUAGGCGGCUCGAUAAGUCCGGUGUGAAAGUCACAGGCUCAACCUGUGAAUGCCGCUGGAAACUGUCUGGCUAGAGUCCGGAAGGGGCGAGUGGAAUUCCUGGUGUAGCGGUGAAAUGCGCAGAUAUCAGGAGGAACACCAAUGGCGAAGGCAGCUCGCUGGGACGGUACUGACGCUGAGGCGCGAAAGCGUGGGGAGCAAACAGG
RNAcentral lists this ribosomal RNA (253 nucleotides) under uncultured bacterium. RNAcentral describes it as "partial 16S ribosomal RNA". It matches the Rfam family "Bacterial small subunit ribosomal RNA", at positions 524 to 776 of the family's 1533-position model. The record is from RNAcentral.